Non-coding RNA from Physcomitrium patens, 4829 nucleotides. The record is from RefSeq and is a predicted model, not a curated record. Lineage: Eukaryota; Viridiplantae; Streptophyta; Bryopsida; Funariales; Funariaceae.
UUCCCCCUCAUUCCCCUCCCGCCACGGCCCUAGCUUCCUUCGCUGUGUGCCUGCGCCAUGCCUUCCUUCGCAGGUGCCUGCCUGCCUCCGCCCCUGCUCCCGCCUUCCCUCUUGACUGAUCGCUCCUGAUGUCGUUGCCCCACCCCUCCCUUCGCAUCUGCGGCAUUCCUGUCGACUUCCCUUACAAGCCCUAUGGCACGCAGUUGGCCUUCAUGGGCAAGGUCCUUGCUGCUCUCGAGCAAUCUCGCCACUCGCAUCGCUCUUGCAGUGUCAAUGCACUUCUGGAGUCUCCCACCGGCUCUGGCAAGACGCUCGCUCUUCUGUGUGCCACUCUGGCGUGGCAGAAACAAUUCCCCGCCUUGCCUCUUCUUCCUUCCGCUCCUGCUGAUCCCCUGCUUGCCGGCGGUGGCUUCAUUGUUGACGAACCUCUCUCUGGACGUCAGCUUGGGGGAGAAGACACUCCUGCUGUUAAAGCCCCGAUUGCAGGAAGGUCCAACACUCAGAAAUCCAAGAAUCGAAAAGUCCCGAUGAUUUACUAUGCUUCGAGGACUCACACUCAAAUCACUCAAGUGAUUCGUGAACUUCGGAAGACCAAGUAUCACGUAUCCAUGGCGGUUCUAGGUGCAAGGAAACAUUACUGCACGAACAAAAGUGUCGUACGCAAGAACAAUGUCGAUGAGGACUGUAAGCUGCUUAUGAAAGACGAGGAGCGUAGCUGUCCUCAUUUCAAAAAUGUCAUGAAGCUGAAAUCACAUCCAUCACUGCAAAAGGGAGGCGCAAAUAAUAUUCAUGAUAUUGAGGACCUUGUAGAGCUUGGUCACAAGGUGAAAGGCUGUGCAUACUUUGCAGCCAGAGCAUUAGCUACUGAGGCAGACAUAGUCUUUUGUCCAUAUAACUAUAUACUUGACCCUAUCAUCAGGAGUGCAAUGGAAGUUAACCUACAAGGAGCCAUUGUUGUGCUGGACGAAGCUCAUAACAUUGAGGAUGUGGCUCGCGAGGCAGGAAGCAUAGACCUGGAAACUAGUCUGCUGCAAGAUCUCCGGUUGGAGUUAGAGCAGCUCGCUACAUCAGACGAAACAUCUGACAUUUACUCCCCACUUUUAGAAAUGGUGCAGGCAUGGCUAGAUUGGAUAUAUCACCAAGAAAAGUGCCUUUCGAAGUUGGACUUUGAGCAUUAUGCAUCAAGCUGGAGAGGUUCUAAAGCAAUACAGGAGCUACGAUUGGCAGGGACGUGCCUGGAAACAUUUCAAGUCCUUCUUGAAUGCUCGAAGAAGGCAAUAGGAGCUGCUUCUAAUCCAGACGAAACAGUGAAUCAUUUGAGUGGGCGUGCUACGAUUGCAAUAGAAGGAUUAUUUUCUGCUCUCAAGUUCAUGCUGCAAGAAAAUGGACGUCGUGCUGGAGAUUACCAGUUGGUUGUGAGAAGAUUUGUCAAACGCGAUGAAGGUUUGGCAGUGACAGGAUGGGUUACAACUGUCAGUCUUUGGUGCUUAAACCCCGGCGUGGUUUUUGAGGACAUCGCGAGUGUAACUCGGUCUAUUAUUCUUACUUCGGGGACUUUGUCGCCUAUGGACUCUUUUGCAUCUGAGCUCGGCAUUCCAUUCGAAUUUCAAAUGGAGGCACCGCAUGUUGUUGACAUGGAAAAGCAGGUUUGGGCUGCUGCUGUUUCCACCGGACCAGACAACGUAUCAUUGAAUGCCAGUUAUAAAAAUGCCGAUGGCUAUUCUUUUCAGGAUGCUCUUGGGGUAGUGUUAGAGGAGGUAUUCAAGGUGGUGCCAGAUGGAGCUCUUACAUUUUUCCCAAGCUACAAGUUCCUGGACAAACUAUGUGCUCGCUGGAAGAGUACUGGGCAGUGGGGUCGUCUCUCCAGCGUGAAGGAGCUCUUUUUAGAACCUCGUGGAAACAACGACCAAUUUGAGUUGAUUUUACAAGAUUUUUAUAACUCUAUCAACUCAGAUAGGACACCUGGUAGGAACAGAAAAGUAGGUGUUGAGAAAAACCGAGAUGUGAAAACCCGGGGCACGCCACGGAGCACAGGCAGGAAAGCGGGUGGUGCGGCAUUUUUGGCUGUGUGCCGGGGAAAGGUCUCAGAGGGCAUUGAUUUCUCCGACAGGAAUGCUCGCAUUGUUGUAGUAGUCGGCAUCCCUUUCCCGAAUGUGAAGGACAUUCAAGUAACUCUGAAGAAGCAGUACAAUCAGGAAAAUCGUGUGAUUAAGAAACUGCUAAGCGGAGACGAAUGGUACUGUCAGCAAACAUUCCGUGCUCUGAAUCAGGCUGUAGGACGUUGCAUUCGCCACCGUAACGAUUAUGGUGCUAUACUUCUCUUAGAUGAUCGGUUCAAAAGGCCAGGAAAUAUUCAAUACAUGUCCAAAUGGUUACGAAAUUCUAUCAGACAAUAUGAGAGCUUCAGAGAUUCACUGGAUGGACUAAAGGAAUUUUUCAAGGGAUUCGAGUCAUCUUCUGACGUCACGCAAGAGUUAUGCAUAGUACCCACCGUUAAAUCUGACCUGGUAUCAUCUCGAAAAGCUAAACUCUCGAUCAUCUCAUCAACUAAAAAACCUGACAACCAGCCUAGUCUCAGAGGAUACAUCACGAAGGCCCGCAAACCCUCUAUUGAAGUUUCGUUUGAAGAAUCAAAUGCCAGAAUACCCACAUCAAAUGAGCAGACAAAUAAGGAGGAUUGGAGGAAAGCACCUGAAUUUCUUGCAGAGCAAAUCUCAAAUUAUUCAGUUGCGCAGACAAUCCAAGUUCCUGUAACGAUUGAGUCCGUCGAUCCUGAAAUAGCUCAACAAAAUGUUUUGGCAUCCGUCGUGUCCAACAAUGUUGGCAGAGACUAUAAAAUUAUGUCAUCGCGGAUUAAUACUGCUUUCAAGGCUAUGGAAAAUGAUCCGGAGCAUAGAGGACAUGGCAACUCUUUAGGAAUCGAGAGCGGGCUUGAAAUUCUUACUCCUAUCCAGUCUUCUAGGAUAGAUGCUGCAGCAAUGACUUCAUCUGAAAAGGCCUUAGAUCUUGUCAAUUGUGAAGAAAUACCUAGUGCGGAUAAUCUUUUUGUCGAAAGUUCACUCAAUUGUCUUGGCCAGAACAGUGUCAAGCAUUCCCUCAAGCGGAAGAUGGAUCUCAGAAAUGAAGAUAUAUCUUUAGACAUGUCUGCCAACUCGCUCAAGGGGUCUCAUUCCCUUCCGCAAGGAUCCCCUGCUCAAUUAGGUUGUAGGCCUUGUGAGGAUAUCAAAUCUCACUAUAGAUUUCAAGUUGGGGGUUCAGCCGGUUCAUUAGAUAAAAGCAUAUUUGAUAGACCUCAUGGGCAAUGUAUCUGUGAUAGUCACUCAGAGGGGACCCUUGCGUGCCUAGUGGAGUCGAGUCCAUGUUUCUCAAAGAUGGACUUAAUCCACGCUUGUAGUCAUGAAGUCGCCCGACAGCAGGAAGUUUUUGAGGCUGGAGGAAAGAAUGUGAAGGUGCAGUGCAGUAGCCCUUUGUCAGCUGUAAACAAAGGCUUCCAGCAUGGCGAAAGGUCUACGGAGAUCAAUCUAAGGGUGGAUUCUGAAUUAACUGCAUCUGGUAGCGGCGAAGCCCAAAAUGAUUUGAACGUUGCCAUACUAUGCGGGAGGUGUUUCCACCAUUUGAGUCACUAUGCGAAAGUUGUUUAUGAAACCUUCAACAAGUCGUAUCUGGCCACAAUCCACCGUGGUGAUAACCAUAGAACUAACAUUCCUAUGCUUUUGAUGGAAUAUCAUAAUCUUCAAGCGUCAGUCAAAGAGAAACUCUACUCAUCUAGUUCUCGAGGAUCGGAUUCAUCCUAUGAUGCCAACAUAAACGUUUCUCCAAAUGUUGGAGUGUGGAUAAGAGAAGACGGAUGUGUAUACGAGCACAUAUUUUGUCCAAGUUGUGAGGAUCAGAGCAUCUGUGUUGGUGUUCAUGUCGUUGCUUGUGAUAAGGUGAAUUUGUCGUUAAUGGAUAAGGCUUCUAUUGAAGACCAGUAGUUAUUGUGCAAAUAGAAACCUUGGAGACUGGAGAUCCCUACUGACGUUGCGUGAACUUUAGGUAGUUUUCUUUGAGGAGUAUGUCAAGGUGAAUCGCAUGUGUCAAAAGCAGAAGAUGCAACAGGUCUUUAUCCGCUGAUUUAUAAUUUGUUACGUCUCACAUGAUUUUGUAAUAUGGGCUAAAAGGUUGAGAUGUUGAAAAUCCUUUGCGUUUGAAGCUAAUAUACCGAUAGUCAGUCUCUUCACCAUUUACUCCAGCUAAAUACUAGCUUUUGGACCCUGCUGCUUCAAGCACUACUUAGAGGUACUAAUUCUAGGCAUGCUGGUUUCUUUGUGCUGAUGGAAUAAGAAUUAUCUGGUGACGACUAACUGGUUUGAUUUCUUUUUCUCGCUACAAUUUCAGAGUCAAGAACACCAAGCUCAGCUAUCAACAUACUCUAAUUCCUCCGAAAAUGUAAAGACUCGAAUCACUACCCCAGCAAAAGCGAAGCUAAAGCUCCAAAGAACCAAGUUAUGAGUGACAAAUGUCGCAUAUGAUGCAAGCAUGAUAAAACGGACCGUGACAAUAUGGGGAUGGCAUAUCAUCAUCACACCGGGAAAUUACAAAUCAUAUAUGUAGCGGUAUAUCGCGAAAUUUUAGAGGUAUUUGUCUACGAGUUCGCUGGUUUGUUGGAUGUUAGAUAUUUACCAACGUUCAUGCCAGAUAAUCAUUGUCGCUCUAUAAUUUAUCAUCGUAUUCUAUACGAAAGAAAAAAUUCAAAAAAUGUACGUGAUAUUUGAGGGUUAUCUCUUAGGAUAUAUGUAUUUUGUUGGAAAAUUUAAGAUUUUAGUCAAGUGAAUCAAUUUCUUUUGAAA